GUAAAAAUGCCAGAGUUAAAUAUGGGAUUGGUUUAGGUCCAAUAUACGGUGGAAGCCUUUUUACU
RNAcentral lists this transfer RNA (65 nucleotides) under Anindobothrium anacolum. RNAcentral's name for it is "tRNA-Leu". Lineage: Eukaryota; Metazoa; Platyhelminthes; Cestoda; Phyllobothriidea; Phyllobothriidae. The record is from RNAcentral.